UACGUAUGGUGCAAGCGUUAUCCGGAUUUACUGGGUGUAAAGGGAGCGCAGGCGGCACGGCAAGCCUGAUGUGAAAGCCCGCGGCCCGACCGCGGGACUGCAUUGGGAACUACCGGGCUGGAGUGCCGGAGAGGUAGGCGGAAUUCCUAGUGUAGCGGUGAAAUGCGUAGAUAUUAGGAGGAACACCAGUGGCGAAGGCGGCCUACUGGACGGUGACUGACGCUGAGGCUCGAAAGCGUGGGGAGCAAACAGG
Molecule: ribosomal RNA, 253 nt
Filed under: uncultured bacterium
Lineage: Bacteria
Description: partial 16S ribosomal RNA
Rfam family: Bacterial small subunit ribosomal RNA
Source: RNAcentral